RNAcentral lists this ribosomal RNA (252 nucleotides) under uncultured bacterium. RNAcentral's name for it is "partial 16S ribosomal RNA". It matches the Rfam family "Bacterial small subunit ribosomal RNA", at positions 524 to 776 of the family's 1533-position model. The record is from RNAcentral.
UACGUAGGGGGCUAGCGUUGUCCGGAAUCAUUGGGCGUAAAGCGCGUGUAGGCGGUCCGGUAAGUCCGCUGUGAAAGUCGAGGGCUCAACCUCGAAUGCCGGUGGAUACUGUCGGGCUUGAGUACGGGAGAGGCGAGUGGAAUUCCUGGUGUAGCGGUGAAAUGCGCAGAUAUCAGGAGGAACACCGAUGGCGAAGGCAGAUCUCUGGGCCGUAACUGACGCUGAGGAGCGAAAGCAUGGGGAGCGAACAGG